Molecule: transfer RNA, 64 nt
Filed under: Botanophila fugax
Lineage: Eukaryota; Metazoa; Arthropoda; Insecta; Diptera; Anthomyiidae
Description: tRNA-Cys
Source: RNAcentral
AGCUUUAUAUUCAAUAAUGAUAUUAGACUGCAAUUCUAAAGGAGUAAAUAAUUUACUAAGGCUU